This 164-nucleotide ribosomal RNA is filed under the name Salvia pulchella. RNAcentral describes it as "5.8S ribosomal RNA". It matches the Rfam family "5.8S ribosomal RNA". From Rfam's summary of the family: 5.8S ribosomal RNA (5.8S rRNA) is a component of the large subunit of the eukaryotic ribosome. It is transcribed by RNA polymerase I as part of the 45S precursor that also contains 18S and 28S rRNA. Functionally, it is thought that 5.8S rRNA may be involved in ribosome translocation. The record is from RNAcentral. Lineage: Eukaryota; Viridiplantae; Streptophyta; Magnoliopsida; Lamiales; Lamiaceae.
AUAACGACUCUCGGCAACGGAUAUSUCGGCUCUCGCAUCGAUGAAGAACGUAGCGAAAUGCGAUACUUGGUGUGAAUUGCAGAAUCCCGUGAACCAUCGAGUCUUUGAACGCAAGUUGCGCCCGAAGCCAUUUGGCCGAGGGCACGUCUGCCUGGGCGUCACGC